AUUGAACGCUGGCGGAAUGCUUUACACAUGCAAGUCGAACGGCAGCACGGGGGCAACCCUGGUGGCGAGUGGCGAACGGGUGAGUAAUACAUCGGAACGUGCCCAGUCGUGGGGGAUAACGUAGCGAAAGUUACGCUAAUACCGCAUACGAUCUACGGAUGAAAGCGGGGGACCGUAAGGCCUCGCGCGAUUGGAGCGGCCGAUGUCAGAUUAGGUAGUUGGUGAGGUAAAGGCGCACCAAGCCGACGAUCUGUACCUGCUCUGAGAGGACGAGCAGCCGCACUGGGACUGAGACGCGGCCCAGACUCCUACGGGAGGGAGCAGUGGGGAAUUUUGGACAAUGUGCGCAAGCCUGAUCCAGCCAUUCCGCGUGCAGGACGAAGGCCUUCGGGUUGUAAACUGCUUUUGUACGGAACGAAAAGGCUCUGGUUAAUACCUGGGGCUCAUGACGGUACCGUAAGAAUAAGCACCGGCUAACUACGUGCCAGCCGCCGCAGUAA
RNAcentral lists this ribosomal RNA (500 nucleotides) under uncultured bacterium. Its description in RNAcentral is "partial 16S ribosomal RNA". It matches the Rfam family "Bacterial small subunit ribosomal RNA", at positions 30 to 523 of the family's 1533-position model. The record is from RNAcentral.